RNAcentral lists this transfer RNA (38 nucleotides) under Gagea serotina. RNAcentral's name for it is "partial transfer RNA-Phe". RNAcentral also lists the same sequence under 40 other names. The record is from RNAcentral. Lineage: Eukaryota; Viridiplantae; Streptophyta; Magnoliopsida; Liliales; Liliaceae.
GUCGGGAUAGCUCAGUUGGUAGAGCAGAGGACUGAAAA